AAGACCCUUGCUUCGAUUAUGAUGCUGGUCUCAUGGGAAAUUUGGAAGGAACGAAAUGCAAGAAUUUUUUGCAACACAGCCGCUCCAACAGCGAUCAUCGUCAGCAGAAUCAAGGAGGAAGCCCACCUCUGGGCGCUUGCUGGAGCCAAGCAUUUGAGCCUACUUAUGUCGCGAGAGUAG
This 180-nucleotide ribosomal RNA is filed under the name Triticum aestivum (bread wheat). RNAcentral's name for it is "partial small subunit ribosomal RNA". The record is from RNAcentral. Lineage: Eukaryota; Viridiplantae; Streptophyta; Magnoliopsida; Poales; Poaceae.